This 235-nucleotide long non-coding RNA is filed under the name Brassica napus (rape). RNAcentral's name for it is "long non-coding RNA (BNAP_LNC020630)". The record is from RNAcentral. Lineage: Eukaryota; Viridiplantae; Streptophyta; Magnoliopsida; Brassicales; Brassicaceae.
GGACAACCUUGAAAACAAAAAAUAAAUAUUGUUAGUAAAAAUUUAAAGUUAAGUUAAAUGAAUAAUAAAAAAUUAAAAUUUUAGAAAAUUUACCUCCUCGUAAAUCUUAUCCACUUCAAGUGUGGAUAAGAUGACGGGUAAUCCGUCGGUAGACUGCUGUGUCAGCUGGGUCUGGCGGUCUUCAACCCGAGCAACCACGGCGUUGUAGAUUUGCUCGGACUUGCCAUCUACAAAU